RNAcentral lists this ribosomal RNA (453 nucleotides) under uncultured bacterium. Its description in RNAcentral is "bacterial SSU rRNA". It matches the Rfam family "Bacterial small subunit ribosomal RNA", at positions 29 to 524 of the family's 1533-position model. The record is from RNAcentral.
AGCGAACGCUGGCGGCAGGCUUAACACAUGCAAGUCGAACGGGCGUAGCAAUACGUCAGUGGCAGACGGGUGAGUAACGCGUGGGAACGUACCUUUUGGUUCGGAACAACACAGGGAAACUUGUGCUAAUACCGGAUAAGCCCUUACGGGGAAAGAUUUAUCGCCGAAAGAUCGGCCCGCGUCUGAUUAGCUAGUUGGUGGGGUAAAGGCCCACCAAGGCGACGAUCAGUAGCUGGUCUGAGAGGAUGAUCAGCCACAUUGGGACUGAGACACGGCCCAAACUCCUACGGGAGGCAGCAGUGGGGAAUAUUGGACAAUGGGCGCAAGCCUGAUCCAGCCAUGCCGCGUGAGUGAUGAAGGCCUAGGUUGUAAAGCUCUUUUGUUACGGGAAGAUAAUGACGGUACCGUAAGAAUAAGACCCCGGCCUAACUUCGUGCCAGCAGCCGCGGUAAU